RNAcentral lists this ribosomal RNA (379 nucleotides) under uncultured eukaryote. RNAcentral describes it as "partial 18S ribosomal RNA". It matches the Rfam family "Eukaryotic small subunit ribosomal RNA", at positions 592 to 975 of the family's 1831-position model. The record is from RNAcentral.
CAAUAGCGUAUAUUAAAGUUGUUGCGGUUAAAACGCUCGUAGUUUGAAAUCUGUUAAGGACGAUCUGUCUGCCCUCUGGGUGUGUAUUUGGUCUAGCCUUGGCAUUUCCUUGAACAAGACAACUGCACUUGAUUGUGUGGUGUUGAUUUCAAGGUGUUUACUUUGAGGAAAUCAGAGUGCUUCCAGCCGGUGUGCGCCUUGAAUACAUUAGCAUGGAAUAUCAUUAUAUGGUUUGGAUUUUUACUUGUUGGUUUUUAAAAUUGAAGCAAUGAUAAAUAGGGAUAAUUGGGGGCACUUGUAUUUAAUUGUCAGAGGUGAAAUUCUUGGAUUUGUGAAAGACAAACUACUGCGAAAGCAUUUGCCAAAAAUGUUUUCAUUG